UUCCUGCCAGAAGAAACACAGAGUGUGCAACUUAGUACUCAGAGGAAAUCUUCUUCACUAGUUCAACUCUACUUUUCACACAAGAAUCAGAUAAAGGAAUUCAAAUAUCAACAGGGAAUGAAAAUAGUCAGGCACAAGCAAAUUCUAAGGUCACCCAUCAAUAAAGGCUAUCAUUCUUCUGGCUUGAUAUGCAUACAAGACCCAUGCUUUAACUCCAUGGAAAAUCACUCAAUAAGGCCAAAACCAAACUUCAAAUACAAAGACGUGUUCCUUCUCUCCACAAUCUGCCAUUUCCUUCAAAUAUUAGAUUGCAAAAAGACUCAUAUUUUGCCUAUUCUGACUAAUAUAACAUUCCACAUAGAAUUAACAUUCUUAUCCUAAUACUAACAUUUACAUACUAUAGCAAAUUACUUACAUUUGACAAAAAAACUCAGAAAAGUGAUAAAAUGCAAGCUGUUUUUCUUGAGUUGCACAGUGCUUCACAAUUGUUUGGUAUAAUUUAAUGAUAGCCAUAUCACAAACCAGAAGAACAACAACCAAAUCUCAUACGCACAAGUGCAAAGAACAACCCAAAAAGCCAAAUCAUGGAGAACAACAUGGAUUGUAGAACCCCAAGAAAUCAGAACAAACACUUAGCCCCACAAGGACUAAACUUUCACUCUAGUUUACUCCUCUUCUUCCACAGUUGAAAUCACUGCAAAAGUGUUGCACGACAUGCUGAAUGAAAAUAAUAAACGGCGUGGUGAGAUGAGAGGGAAGAUGGUCAAAAGAAUCUCAGUAUAUUCUGGUUGUCUACAAUACCCUUAACAAGAUAAUCAUACAAAACAGAGUUUAUAAAUAACAUUCUUGAUCCUCAAACACAACCAAUUAUGAGUAAGAAGUUCAUUUUGAUAGGUUUUAGAGUAUAAAAUGCAAAAAUCAACUCGGACCAAUCAAACCACACAAGAUUCUUCACUGACAAUCAAAGUUAAAAGACAAACAACAAAUUUUACUUCCAACUUUCAACACAAGUUUUUUUCCAACUUUCAACACAAGUUUUUUUUCUUAGUAAUAACUAUUAACUACACAUUGGUUUAACACAAAUCUCUUUCUUGGACCAAAUCACUCAGUAGACCGAUGGCACAACCCAAACUCACAUGCAAACAAAAACAUAUAAAAUUGUAAUCCCAGUUGAACAAUAACAGAACCAUAUCAAAUGAAUUUUAUGUGAACCCAAAACGGAAAUAAUCUCAAUCCAACCAAGAAGUCAAACAAAUUAAGAAACC
This 1265-nucleotide long non-coding RNA is filed under the name Phaseolus vulgaris (common bean). RNAcentral describes it as "long non-coding RNA (PVUL_LNC000484)". Lineage: Eukaryota; Viridiplantae; Streptophyta; Magnoliopsida; Fabales; Fabaceae. The record is from RNAcentral.